CCGCCGCCACCAUGUUUGCCAUCUAACGCCGCCACCCCAAGCAUGUUCCUCCCGUGGAUCCACCGCGAGCUAGAUCCUCCGCCAGCCCACUCCCUCCCUUCUCCACCAGCCCUCCGCCGAUGGUGACGCGGGAAACCCCGAGCGGCGGCUUCCCUGGAGGAGGCCGUGGUGAGUGCUUCCGGCACCGACCGUCCGUGAGUGCCGGCGGCCAUCCGCGUUUCUCCUCGAUUGGGCCAGUGCCACGACGACUAGACGGCGCGGCCGGCGAUGGAGUAGUUCGCCGGCUUCCACUCCUCUACUAUUUUGGCACCUCCCCCUUGUGUGUCGUCUCCAACCGGUGGCGUCGUGGCCCUACUUCGCUGAGAUCCACAUCGUUGUGGUCCUAUUUUGUCUGGAACAAUCCAACCACUCGUGUUGAGACCAGCUUCCUCGACGUCGGCGCCACCGUCUCCGACAGCCACUAGAUGCGUGCGUCGACCUGAUUCCCGAUUGCCUCUUUGUCCUCUAUCCUCAACGGCUGUCCUACUAUUUCCUCUCAUCUCGUUUGCGUUUUAUUCUUGCAUAUCUUGAUCGGGUGAGACUGAUGGGAAUCAUUCGCAAGUGGUGGCGCUGGAGCCACCUCCCUCCGCCGCCAGCAGAUCAUCUCCAACAUGGAGCGCAGAGAAUGCAAUAGGCUGACCUGCUAGCGCUACUCAUGGACCAGAUCUUUAACUAAAGCUCGAUCCACCGCAUUGACAAGAAGUUCCUCGUUAGGGACCCAGUGUGCGCACGCCUCUUUUACAGAAGCUCUAGUCAUAUGACAUUUGAAGAAGCCAGCAAGAAGUAGCUUCUUAUAUAUAUUGUAAUAAUAGGCAUACAUAUUGUAAUUUUCAAAUUUCACUGUUAUUUGAAGAAUUUCAUGCGUUCCCAGUUCUGUUUGAUAUAUUGAUUAUCUGUUAUUUGAAACUGUGAAUUGUAACUCCUGGGACCCACUUCUGAAA
Molecule: non-coding RNA, 980 nt
Organism: Lolium perenne
Lineage: Eukaryota; Viridiplantae; Streptophyta; Magnoliopsida; Poales; Poaceae
Source: RefSeq, a predicted model, not a curated record